UAUCGUAUGCGCGCGUUUGGUGCCCGCACAUGCAUUCGCGUGUGCAGUUAAACGGGAAACAGGCAGCGCUCCCGCGCUCAACCUGUGCUGUCCCCGCAACGGUAAGCGACCUGCGGUGCAAUGUUCAUGCUGCACCGCGCAUGCGUUUUCGAUGCCACUGUCCGAUACAUUCGAAUGAAUGCGGGCGGGAAGGCAAAGCGCGUGAGGCCGCCAGCCCGGAUACCGGCCAGAUGCGGAGGCGACCG
This 245-nucleotide non-coding RNA is filed under the name Burkholderia sp. The record is from RNAcentral. Lineage: Bacteria; Pseudomonadati; Pseudomonadota; Betaproteobacteria; Burkholderiales; Burkholderiaceae.